Syngnathus typhle (broad-nosed pipefish) is the source of this 1064-nucleotide long non-coding RNA. RefSeq lists it as uncharacterized. The record is from RefSeq and is a predicted model, not a curated record. NCBI's taxonomy places the organism in Eukaryota, Metazoa, Chordata, Actinopteri, Syngnathiformes, Syngnathidae. The transcript is spliced from 2 exons.
ACUAGGUUCACUUGUCAAACCAGCAGGCUCAUGGAGACAAUGUGGCGUUUAUUUGACUCAUCCAACAUGUCCUGAGAGGGACAUAUUUUGAGUGUUUAUCAUCCGAAGAAGACAUUCAUCUAAUGUCUUGUUGUGUAACAUCCUAACAUCUGCAGUCUUGAAAUCCGGGUGGAGGUGUGCUCAACUGAAUUCUGGUUUGCCUUCAUGUGACUAGACGUCAAAACGCUGGAAUGAUGUAAUGCUGUAAGAAACAUCCAAGGAGCAACUACCGGGUGGCGUCCAAUGUUGACAUCCAUUGGAGGAGGUCCAACCCUCUCUGCUGGUUCAGGACUGACCUGGUGCCUCAGUAACGAUGAGUCUGGUGGGAAUACUGGGAGCUCUGUUGAGAUGACGACGUGUACCCCAUGGUGCUCUGCGGCUGAUUAGAACCUUGGACAUUGCUUUGGUAACCAUGGCGGGAUGUGGAGUGCUGAAGAGGAAAUCACAUUAGUGAGCAGUUCACCACCAUGGUUUAAUAUAAAUCCAUGUAAUCCAGACUGAAUAAAUAUUUAUGCUACGCUUUUGCAGCCUAUUAUGUCAGGAUUGAAACCGUGGCCUGCGGGUAUGGAAUCAAUGACAGAGAAAAAGUAGGACAACAGUGACAGCAAUGUCACACGUUGCUGACGGUUAAGCAAUAAUAACAUCUGUUGCUAGCUGACAGCUAGCAUGUGUCGCGUGUCUUUUAUAGAAGCUAUUUUGCUCAUGUGUGACCGAAAAAACGGAAUUCUUCACCUCUUACCCAGAAGGCACCACGUGAUGUGUUAUCAGCUUUGUCUACCGGAUAUUCGGGUAUGUACAGUAUCACUUGACUAUUGUUCUUUACUUAUCAUGUGUCUGUCCGAUGCAGCAGUGCCUUGAGAUGUCAGUUUUGUAAUUUUUGUUCCCACAUAUGAAUCUCAAAACAUUCCUAUCUCCUGUUUCCCCUUUCAAAUGAAUAGAAAUGCCUCUGGCCUCCUCCUCCUAGAAAAAACAACACUAUGUAUUGUACUUUAUAAAACCAAAAUAGAUCCCGUGGCUGCAUGUUA